Molecule: ribosomal RNA, 252 nt
Filed under: uncultured bacterium
Lineage: Bacteria
Description: partial 16S ribosomal RNA
Rfam family: Bacterial small subunit ribosomal RNA
Source: RNAcentral
UACGUAGGGUGCGAGCGUUGUCCGGAAUUAUUGGGCGUAAAGAGCUUGUAGGCGGUUUGUCGCGUCUGCUGUGAAAACCCGGGGCUCAACCCCGGGCCUGCAGUCGAUACGGGCAGACUAGAGGCAGGUAGGGGAGAAUGAAUUCCCGGUGUAGCGGUGAAAUGCGUAGAUAUCUGGAGGAACACCGGUGGCGAAGGCGGCAUCCUGGACCGACAUUGACGCUGAGGCGCGAAAGCCAGGGGAGCAAACGGG